This is a long non-coding RNA of Hippocampus comes (tiger tail seahorse), 1567 nucleotides long. RefSeq lists it as uncharacterized. The record is from RefSeq and is a predicted model, not a curated record. NCBI's taxonomy places the organism in Eukaryota, Metazoa, Chordata, Actinopteri, Syngnathiformes, Syngnathidae. The transcript is spliced from 2 exons.
GACGACAACAGUCGGUCGGGCUCACUCUUUGGUCGCAUUCCCAGUGCGGCAACAUCAAAGCAAAGCAGUCGCUAAUGAAGUUUACUUGAAUUAAAAAGAGGCUCAGAAGAAGGUUUUACAGCACUUCAUGAUGAUGGAUGGUUUGAAGCCAAGGUGCCCCAAACUUACUUUGUCUUAUUUUACAUAAAUAAAAUUGUAAUAAAAAAAGUCCUGCCGUUAUUUGGAUAUGCCAAAAUAUUAUGAGAAAGAACGAAGUGUAAUAAUUAAUCUGUACUAUACUAUAAACAAUAUCAGAUUUAUUACAAGUACAUAUUUUGGUUUAUAGGUUAGGCUGACGCUAAAAUAAAGAAAAUAAACCACGAAUCCAAAUGAAAGAGUUGAUGCAUCUACUUAAAUGGGGUACUUUUCAUUUUCAUCCAUUGGUGACCUUUCCUUGCAUCUUUUUCUGACGUUCUUUUUUGUGUUAAGGUUUCUUUACAAAGCAGUGCUGCCUUAGCUGCCCAUAACAGCAAUUCCAUUUUUUUUGUUCGUGUCAAGCAAAUAUACACUUUCAUGUAAAAGCAGUGUGGCCCUAAACCUGAAACUCCCGAAAAAUAUUAUUUUGCAGAGAUAUAAAUGAACGUGAACUGCACUGAACCUUAUGAUUGGACAGUGACAAGGAAAAGAAAAAAACGAUGCUCCAAUUAACCUUCCUCCUUGUGCUUUUUUUUUUAAUACCCUCAUUCCCAUAUGUUGACAUAAAUGCUCAGGCUGCGGAGGAAUUAAAAGUUCUUAUUUUGGUGCCUCUUUGACUCCCACAGUGAGAAAUUAAAUCAUAGCGAAACACAUAAAUCACAAGCUGGGGGGUGGGGUAGGGGGGAGGGGGGAACAGGCGGGGACAGUCGCAUCUACUCCGCUGCAAUCGCCCUCUCAUUCAUCACAAGAGUCAAAAGACAUUCUCCCCUAGCCCAAGUCCACAAAUUAAAGUGAGCAGGCCACCGGAAUCAAUUCCAAGUCUAAAAACCGCCUACACACCGCGAUGGCAUAUUCUCCAAAACAACAUUCUGUGGUAUCGGUUCACAUACUCAGGUAUUACCAAGGCCACUCCACAAACGCUGACGCAGUCAGAGAGAAAUUGAUGUAACGAAACAUAUGCACACACGGACAAAAUUGUUGGUACCCCUUUGUCAUGAAAUACAAGCCAAAGUGGUGGUAAUCUAAUAAAAGUAACAAUUUCAAAAAAAAAAAAAAAAAAAAAAAAAAUGAACAAAUGGAAAUCAGACAUUGCUUUUGAAUUGUGAUUUAACAGAAUUAGUUAAAAGUGAGUGUCCCUGAAAAAGAUUGAAAAUAACAUCAACACUUAACCAGAGAUGGCCUUGUGUCCUGAAAUGUAGUAUUGACGAUGAUUUUAAAAAUGUCUUCACUGUUUCCAGGCAAUAUUUGAUGGUUUGAGAGAUAUUCUCAUUUUUGAAGUUUGACUUGUGAAAGCUUGCGCAACAUAUGUAUAGAUGGUAGCAUACCUCAUAAUUUAUAGCAACGACGUCUCAGGAAAGAAAAAUAUGAUUGAAAAAUUUAGUAAAAAUAAAUA